This 734-nucleotide ribosomal RNA is filed under the name Ralstonia sp. Bac97111D4. RNAcentral's name for it is "bacterial SSU rRNA". It matches the Rfam family "Bacterial small subunit ribosomal RNA", at positions 35 to 762 of the family's 1533-position model. The record is from RNAcentral. Lineage: Bacteria; Pseudomonadati; Pseudomonadota; Betaproteobacteria; Burkholderiales; Burkholderiaceae.
GCUGGCGGCAUGCCUUACCAUGCCAUUUGAACGGCAGCAUGAUCUAGCUUGCUAUAUUGAUGGCGAGUGGCGAACGGGUGAGUAAUACAUCGGAACGUGCCCUGUAGUGGGGGAUAACUAGUCGAAAGAUUAGCUAAUACCGCAUACGACCUGAGGGUGAAAGUGGGGGACCGCAAGGCCUCAUGCUAUAGGAGCGGCCGAUGUCUGAUUAGCUAGUUGGUGGGGUAAAGGCCCACCAAGGCGACGAUCAGUAGCUGGUCUGAGAGGACGAUCAGCCACACUGGGACUGAGACACGGCCCAGACUCCUACGGGAGGCAGCAGUGGGGAAUUUUGGACAAUGGGCGAAAGCCUGAUCCAGCAAUGCCGCGUGUGUGAAGAAGGCCUUCGGGUUGUAAAGCACUUUUGUCCGGAAAGAAAUGGCUCUGGUUAAUACCUGGGGUCGAUGACGGUACCGGAAGAAUAAGGACCGGCUAACUACGUGCCAGCAGCCGCGGUAAUACGUAGGGUCCAAGCGUUAAUCGGAAUUACUGGGCGUAAAGCGUGCGCAGGCGGUUGUGCAAGACCGAUGUGAAAUCCCCGAGCUUAACUUGGGAAUUGCAUUGGUGACUGCACGGCUAGAGUGUGUCAAAGGGGGGUAGAACUCACGUGUAGCAGUGAAAUGCCUAGAGGUGUGGAAGAAUACCGAUGGCAAAGCAGCCCCCUGGGAUACACUGACGCUCAUGCACCAAAGCGU